RNAcentral lists this ribosomal RNA (497 nucleotides) under uncultured bacterium. RNAcentral's name for it is "partial 16S ribosomal RNA". It matches the Rfam family "Bacterial small subunit ribosomal RNA", at positions 28 to 507 of the family's 1533-position model. The record is from RNAcentral.
GAUGAACGCUGGCGGCGUGCCUAAUACAUGCAAGUCGAGCGAACAGACGAGGAGCUUGCUCCUCUGACGUUAGCGGCGGACGGGUGAGUAACACGUGGAUAACCUACCUAUAAGACUGGGAUAACUUCGGGAAACCGGAGCUAAUACCGGAGAAUAUAUUGAACCGCAUGGUUCAAUAGUGAAAGACGGUUUUGCUGUCACUUAUAGAUGGAUCCGCGCCGCAUUAGCUAGUUGGUAAGGUAACGGCUUACCAAGGCAACGAUGCGUAGCCGACCUGAGAGGGUGAUCGGCCACACUGGAACUGAGACACGGUCCAGACUCCUACGGGAGGCAGCAGUAGGGAAUCUUCCGCAAUGGGCGAAAGCCUGACGGAGCAACGCCGCGUGAGUGAUGACGGUCUUCGGAUCGUAAAACUCUGUUAUUAGGGAAGAACAAAUGUGUAAGUAACUAUGGACGUCUUGACGGUACCUAAUCAGAAAGCAACGGCUAACUACGUG